Molecule: ribosomal RNA, 443 nt
Filed under: uncultured bacterium
Lineage: Bacteria
Description: partial 16S ribosomal RNA
Rfam family: Bacterial small subunit ribosomal RNA
Source: RNAcentral
CCUACGGGAGGCAGCAGUGGGGAAUAUUGGUCAAUGGGCGCAAGCCUGAACCAGCAACGCCGCGUGAAGGAAGAAGGCUUUCGGGUUGUAAAAUUCUUUUGUCAGGGACGAAGCAAGUGACGGUACCUGACGAAUAAGCCAAGGCGAACUACGAGCCAGCAGCCGCGGUAAUACGGAGGUGGCAAGCGUUAUCCGGAUUUACGGGGUGUAAAGGGCGUGUAGGCGGGGAAGCAAGUCAGAUGUGAAAACCACGGGCUCAACCGGGGAUCUGGAUUUGAAACUGGUUUUCGUGAGUGCUGGAAGGGAGAUCGGAAUUCCGGGUGUAGCGGUGAAAUGCGUAGAUAUACUGAGGAACACCAGUGGCGAAGGCGGAUUGCUGGACAGUAACUGACGCUGAGGCGCGAAAGCGUGGGGAGCAAACAGGAUUAGAUACCCGUGUAGUC